UGUGACUCCUGGUCCCUUUCCAAACUGGCCAGGAGGUGAGGCUGCUGGGUAAGGAGCCAGCACGGGCUUGGUCUGGGCUGAGGCUGCUGUCAGGGGCCAGUCCUAGGCCUCAGGGAGAUCCUGGGGCCUGGGCAGGUGUGGUGUUGGAGGACUGGGGCACAUGUGUGUGUCUCUCUGGGCGCAUCCCCAUACCCCAAGCCCAUAGAGAAGACACCCAGCAUCUACACAUCCCUCUCCGUCACCUUGCUCUCCACCGUUCCUUCACUCUGAAGCCCCUUGGCGAGCAUGUGGGGUGCUGUGGAUGUGGCCGAGACGCCCAGCGCCUCUGCCCUUAAGGCACACACCCUCCGUUAGGGAGGACCAUCUGCACUCAGGUCAUCUAGAUGUUACCAACAGUGAGGUGAUAGAAUGUGUUUGGGGGGGUGGGGGUGGUUCUUGACCAGCCUAGGGUUAGCCAGGUGCAGGGAAGAGAGGCUGGGCACCCUCAGGGAAUGGAAAGCAGCUCUCUGUGCCCACAGUGCAGGAAGUGGGCUCAGAGAACAUGGCAAGAGCUGAGGCUGGAGAAGUAAGUAAGGGCCUUGAGGGCGUUUAAGGAGCUUGGGUCUUAUCUCUUGGGCAGUGGGGAGCCACUGCAUAGUUUUAAGCAGAGUGUGCUGUGUGUGCAUUUGGCAUCUCCCUCUGGCUGGAGUCUCAGGGAUGGACUGGAGGUAGGGGGCCAACCAGGAGGCUGUUGCAGACAUGCAAGGGAGAGGCGAUGGCUAGGCAGGGGGUGCUGGAAGCUGAGAGAAGAGGUCAGCGUUGACUUACACUCAGGAAGCAAAAUCAGCAGAGUGUGAUGCUUGAGGCUUCAUUGGUUUGAGUGUAUAGAUCGAUAAGAGGAGAAUCAGCACCUUCCAAUCCAUGAACAUGGUACACCUCUCCAUUUAGUGAGGUCUUCAAUUUUUCUCAGCAAGAUUGUGAGGUCUUCUUUAAUUUCUCUCAGCAGCAUUGUGAGGUCUUCUUUAAUUUCUCUCAGCAACAUUGUGAGGUCUUCUUUAAUUUCUCUCAGCAACAUUGUGAGGUCUUCUUUAAUUUCUCUCAGCAACAUUGUGAGGUCUUCUUUAAUUUCUCUCAGCAACAUUGUGAGGUCUUCUUUAAUUUCUCUCAGCAACGUUUUGUAGCUG
Molecule: long non-coding RNA, 1163 nt
Filed under: Equus caballus (horse)
Lineage: Eukaryota; Metazoa; Chordata; Mammalia; Perissodactyla; Equidae
Description: lncRNA (ENSECAG00000055950.1)
Source: RNAcentral